Molecule: non-coding RNA, 54 nt
Organism: Salmo salar (Atlantic salmon)
Lineage: Eukaryota; Metazoa; Chordata; Actinopteri; Salmoniformes; Salmonidae
Source: Rfam
UGCACUCACUACUUUAAGUCGCUUUGGAUAAGAGCGUCUGCUAGAUGACUAAAA